GAGGAAUGCAAUGGGAUGGAUGGUACAGGCUGCCUGCGCCCAAAAGCGAUGAUUCACUUGUUCCCUUGUCUAUAGGGACCUUGUGGCAUACAACCGCCACGACUCUUGCGUUAUAGCCGCCUCUUUCUCUCUUACUUUUGACUGUCUCGUGGACGGACGAAAGAAGGGAAGUUACAGAAGGGGGCAGUGAAGGCUCGCAAAGUAGUUCAGUAGCUGGUCCAAGAGGAUGAUCAGCCACACUAGGACUGAGAAACGGCCCAGACUCCUACGGGAGGCAGCAGUGGGGAAUUUUCCGCAAUGGGCGAAAGCCUGACGGAGCAAUGCUGUGUGGAGGUGGAAGGCCUACGGGUCUGUCAACUUUUUUCUCGGAGAAGAAACAAUGACGGUAUCUGAGGAAUAAGCAUCAGCUAACUCUGUGCCAGCAGCCGUGGUAAGACAGAGGAUGCAAGCGUUAUC
This 456-nucleotide non-coding RNA is filed under the name Triticum aestivum (bread wheat). RNAcentral describes it as "Bacterial small subunit ribosomal RNA". It matches the Rfam family "Bacterial small subunit ribosomal RNA", at positions 158 to 545 of the family's 1533-position model. The record is from Rfam by way of RNAcentral. Lineage: Eukaryota; Viridiplantae; Streptophyta; Magnoliopsida; Poales; Poaceae.